ACAGUCCUUAGCUCAGCUGGUAGAGCAUGAGACUCUUAAUCUCAGGGUCCUGGGUUUGAGCAAAAGAUUGCUGCAUUGCAGGGGGUUGUA
This is a non-coding RNA of Podarcis lilfordi (Lilford's wall lizard), 90 nucleotides long. Lineage: Eukaryota; Metazoa; Chordata; Lepidosauria; Squamata; Lacertidae. The record is from the annotation of a GenBank genome assembly.